Molecule: ribosomal RNA, 253 nt
Filed under: uncultured Bacteroidales bacterium
Lineage: Bacteria; Pseudomonadati; Bacteroidota; Bacteroidia; Bacteroidales
Description: partial 16S ribosomal RNA
Rfam family: Bacterial small subunit ribosomal RNA
Source: RNAcentral
UACGGAGGAUGCGAGCGUUAUCCGGAUUUAUUGGGUUUAAAGGGUGCGUAGGUUGUUUUUUAAGUCAGCGGUGAAAGUUUGUGGCUCAACCAUAAAAUUGCCGUUGAAACUGUGUCCCUUGAGUGCGCGAAGGGUAGGCGGAAUGCGUGGUGUAGCGGUGAAAUGCAUAGAUAUCACGCAGAACUCCGAUCGCGAAGGCAGCCUACCGGCGCGCAACUGACGCUCAUGCACGAAAGCGUGGGUAUCGAACAGG